UCCCCACCACCUCCACGUUCCGAAUGGUCUUCAGCCCUGCUGCUCAUUCCUUUUGUCCGGCUGCUGACUUACGACUCGAUUCAUUAAUACGUUUUGUUGCCUUCGGCAAUUUGUGCGACCAACAUCUCUUAUCGUUUCCCACUGCGUAAACUUCUUCGUUUUGCGUGAACUUCUUCGUUUUGCGAACCUCUUCAAUAAAUCUUCAACGCUUU
Molecule: long non-coding RNA, 212 nt
Organism: Hyalella azteca
Lineage: Eukaryota; Metazoa; Arthropoda; Malacostraca; Amphipoda; Hyalellidae
Exons: 2
Source: RefSeq, a predicted model, not a curated record